Molecule: long non-coding RNA, 989 nt
Organism: Cicer arietinum (chickpea)
Lineage: Eukaryota; Viridiplantae; Streptophyta; Magnoliopsida; Fabales; Fabaceae
Source: RefSeq, a predicted model, not a curated record
UUAUUUAUUUAUUUGUAAUUAGUAGUUAAUGUUAUAUGUUAUUUUUUAGGUACUUGAAUAGGUUGAAACAAAUGGUUAAAAAUAGAUCACAUGUAGAGGGGUCAAUUUAUGAGGCAUAUCUAUGUUAAGAUACUUCUCAUUUUUUUUCAUAUUAUUUUGAAUCUCGUGUGCAAUCUUUGAGAAAUAGAGUAGGUCGAAAUGAUGAUGGGGGCAAACAUGAUGUAGUUCAACAAACUUUAUCAAUUUUCAAUCAUUUUGGUCGCUCAACUGGAACUUGUAAGAGUACAUAUUUGAAUGAUAGAGAAUUAGCUGUCGUACAUUUGCAUGUUCUACUAAACUGUGAAGAAGUUCAACCAUAUAUUGAGUAAGUAAAAUAAAUUGAUCUUUAUUUAUGUGUGUGUGUGUGUGUGUGUAUUUGGAAGCAUAUGAUCCAAAUAUAUGUCAAACUGAAGUGGGUGGUAGGAUUGCAUCUGAAUUUCCAAGUUGGUUUCAAACAUAUGUACAUAAUAAAAAUAACUUGGUGCAAAAUUUGUAUUUGCACCACUUAGCAUAUGGUCCUAAGAGGAAGGUUCAUACUUGGCUUAUUUAUUUUGUAAAUGGUUUUAAGUUUCAUACAGAAGAGUGAAGUGUUGGUAAGAAAAUCAUUAAUUGUGUACUUUGUGUCAAGGGUGACGACGAAGGAGUUGAAGAAAAUUACUAUUAUAGUAUUGUUAAAGAGAUUUUGCUAGUUGAAUACCUAGGAGAACCAACCAAGCAACGCCACCUCCUUUCAACUCCUUUCAACUUGGUUCCUUCUUCGGUUGUGGGUACAUGAUCAAUACAAUCUCAGACAUUUUCGAUUAAACCUUUCAUUCCUCCAAGAUAUAUUCAAAUGAUUCCUACUCCCAGAUACAAGUUGUUGCCAUCAAAAUAGCUAAAUAUUGUAAUGGAGAGAUAACUUGUAGUAUUUUUGGAAUUUGAAAAUAUUGAUGAUGCCCAUCAUUUUCAUU